CAGUAGCCACGGGAAUACAGAGGGUGCAAGCGUUAAUCGGAAUUACUGGGCGUAAAGCGCGCGUAGGUGGUUCGCCAAGUUGGAUGUGAAAUCCCCGGGCUCAACCUGGGAACUGCAUCCAAAACUGGCGAGCUAGAGUAUGGUAGAGGGUGGUGGAAUUUCCUGUGUAGCGGUGAAAUGCGUAGAUAUAGGAAGGAACAUCAGUGGCGAAGGCGACCACCUGGACUGAUACUGACACUGAGGUGCGAAAGCGUGGGGAGCAAACAGGAUUAGAUACCCGCGUAGUCCCUGUCUCUUAUAC
Molecule: ribosomal RNA, 301 nt
Filed under: uncultured bacterium
Lineage: Bacteria
Description: partial 16S ribosomal RNA
Rfam family: Bacterial small subunit ribosomal RNA
Source: RNAcentral